AUACGUAGGGGGCAAGCGUUAUCCGGAAUUAUUGGGUGUAAAGGGUGCGUAGACGGAUUUAUAAGUUAGUUGUGAAAGCCCUCGGCUUAACUGAGGAAGAGCAACUAAAACUAUAAACCUUGAGUAUGGGAGAGGGAAGCGGAAUUUCUAGUGUAGCGGUGAAAUGCGUAGAUAUUAGGAGGAACACCAGUGGCGAAGGCGGCUUUCUGGACCAAAACUGACGUUGAUGCACGAAAGUGUGGGGAGCAAACAGGAUUAGAUACCCUGGUAGUCCACACUGUAAACGAUGGAUACUAGGUGUAGGGAGGAUUAAACCUAUCUGUGCCGGCGUUAACACAAUAAGUAUCCCACCUGAGUAGUACGACCGCAAGGUUAAA
Molecule: ribosomal RNA, 377 nt
Filed under: uncultured bacterium
Lineage: Bacteria
Description: bacterial SSU rRNA
Rfam family: Bacterial small subunit ribosomal RNA
Source: RNAcentral